Molecule: long non-coding RNA, 407 nt
Filed under: Medicago truncatula (barrel medic)
Lineage: Eukaryota; Viridiplantae; Streptophyta; Magnoliopsida; Fabales; Fabaceae
Description: long non-coding RNA (MTRU_LNC006561)
Source: RNAcentral
UAAAAUCUGUUAGGAGCUAACCACUGUAAACAAAACCCAAUCAUAAGGGGUUGGGUUGGUGCUAGCAUUCUAUCUACUAACUCCGCUCAGCCUAUCUCAAUAUACAGAUCUCACUAAUCACCAAUCAUCUUCACAAAGCAAGAGAAAGCGAGACGGAUCCAAUCAGAGGCGGGACCAAGUUGCUGAGUGUAGCAUUGCAAAAAAACAGUAUAAGCCAUUAAACUCAAUCACCGCCAUUGUUGGAAACAGUAGAGCUUAGCAACCAUUAGCAACACCAUUGGGUACAAUUUUACUCUCAGAUACAACAGGUUUAGCACCCUUUGGGGCAUCUCCAGUUGUUGGAACAGCUCCAUUCUCAGAAUGUUUGUUAUCAUCAUUGUCCUUGGCUAGGGUAGACUCUUUGAGCA